RNAcentral lists this ribosomal RNA (429 nucleotides) under uncultured bacterium. Its description in RNAcentral is "bacterial SSU rRNA". It matches the Rfam family "Bacterial small subunit ribosomal RNA", at positions 355 to 776 of the family's 1533-position model. The record is from RNAcentral.
UGGGGAAUCUUGGACAAUGGGGGCAACCCUGAUCCAGCGAUGCCGCGUGAGUGAAGAAGGCCUUCGGGUCGUAAAGCUCUUUAGGUUGGGAAGAAGUGUGGAUGUUGAUAAGGCAUUCAUAUUGACGGUACCGACAGAAUAAGCACCGGCAAACUCUGUGCCAGCAGCCGCGGUAAUACAGAGGGUGCGAGCGUUAAUCGGAGUGACUGGGCGUAAAGGGCGCGUAGGCGGAUAGGAGAGUGUGAUGUGAAAGCCCUGGGCUUAACCUAGGAAGCGCAUCGCAAACGACCUAACUGGAGUACAAGAGAGGGUGGCGGAAUUUCCGGUGUAGCGGUGAAAUGCGUAGAGAUCGGAAGGAACGUCAGUGGCGAAGGCGGCCACCUGGCUUGAUACUGACGCUGAGGCGCGAGAGCGUGGGGAGCGAACAGG